ACAUCUUGACCACUCUAUCUGAUAAAGAUAGAAAGACCAGUUUCUAAUAAUGGUGUCGAAGAUGUGAUGAGAAAGCGGGAUUACAAAGUUUAAACAAUUCUUUCUUAAAAACAUACACAGAGAGAAGUCCAAGCACUGAAGAUAAUUUCAAUUUUAGCUGAUAUCUAACUAAACAACUAUCUAACUACAAACACGCUGGGGACUGUAUGAAAUUAUGCCAUGAAAAAAGAGAGAGGGAGGGCAGGAGGGAGGGAGGGAGAGAGAGAGAGAGAGAGAGAGAGAGGGAGGGAGGGAGGGAGGGAGAGAGAGAGAGAGAGAGAGAGAAAGACUCAGUCCCAGUCUAGGAGAUUACUAUGCCCACCCUUACAAAACAGCCAUUUCUUUCAUUAUAAUAGGUCUUUUCAUCAAAAUGACACAGAACCUUUAAAAUUUGGACAGCAUAUUCUCCUACAGUAGAGACGGCAGCCACUUCAAACCGAUUCUGAACCUGUUCCCUGAAAUAAAACAAACUCGCUCCAUUGACAUACAUAAAUUGUUUACGACUCAUUAAAAAGCAAAAUUGCAUAUCACGCGGCUGGCAGCUGGGUCCAUGCGGUGGAAAAGGGGCAUUCACUCAUCUCUUUGUAUGCUGGCAGUACCAAACUGAAGUUUAGCAGUAGGCAGUAGCUGAGAUUGUUUUGUGCAGCCAGACGAUGCAUGAGAUCUUUGGACCUAACACUGAAGCUACAAAUUAACCACGAAAAGCCCAUAAAAAACCUCAGUGACUGCUGGAGAACAAAAUUCAGAAUGAAUAUGAACUCUCUUCAUUGCAAAUGUACAGUAGUUGGAAGUCAAAUAAAGAACCAAUGCUGUUAAAUAACUGUGUUUUCGAUCCAGAACAAUUAGGGUGCAGUUAACUUUGCCAUUUUUCUCUAUGAUGUGGGUGGCAGUGAAUCUAUUCUUGUUGAGCCACGAGUCUUUUUCUAAGUGAGCUGUUACUAAUAGCCUUGAAAGAAGAUUAAAUGCAACAUGUUAAAUAUUA
Long non-coding RNA from Pantherophis guttatus, 1021 nucleotides. RefSeq lists it as uncharacterized. NCBI's taxonomy places the organism in Eukaryota, Metazoa, Chordata, Lepidosauria, Squamata, Colubridae. The record is from RefSeq and is a predicted model, not a curated record.